This 237-nucleotide ribosomal RNA is filed under the name uncultured bacterium. RNAcentral describes it as "partial 16S ribosomal RNA". It matches the Rfam family "Bacterial small subunit ribosomal RNA", at positions 109 to 334 of the family's 1533-position model. The record is from RNAcentral.
AGUAACACGUGGGUAACCUGCCCGGAAGUGGGGAAUACCUCGGGGAAACUCGAGCUAAUACCGCAUAACAUCUUCGGGACGAAAGUCCUGGCGAUCAAAGCGGGGUCGCAAGAUCUCGCGCUACCGGAUGGGCUCGCGCCCGAUUAGCUAGUUGGUGAGGUAACGGCUCACCAAGGCUUCGAUCGGUAACCGGCCUGAGAGGGCGAUCGGUCACACCGGAACUGAGACACGGUCCGG